UACAGAGGUCUCAAGCGUUGUUCGGAUUCAUUGGGCGUAAAGCGCACGUAGGCGGCUUAGCAAGUCGGAAGUGAAAGCCCUUGGCUCAACCAAGGAAGUGCUUUCGAAACUGCUGAGCUUGAGUAGUUAAGAGGAUCGCGGAAUUCCCGGUGUAGAGGUGAAAUUCGUAGAUAUCGGGAGGAACACCAGUGGCGAAGGCGGCGAUCUGGGAACAUACUGACGCUGAGGUGCGAAAGCGUGGGGAGCAAACAGG
RNAcentral lists this ribosomal RNA (253 nucleotides) under uncultured bacterium. RNAcentral's name for it is "partial 16S ribosomal RNA". It matches the Rfam family "Bacterial small subunit ribosomal RNA", at positions 524 to 776 of the family's 1533-position model. The record is from RNAcentral.